GUGAAUGUUGGGACAUCUGUAUCAUUUGUUCUCCUUGUUGAGUACACGCCUGCUGGCUUUGUUGGCCAUGAGCAUCAUUUUGUUGCACUGUACUAGCUCCUGGUAUAGGAGCCAACUUAGGUGUAGCAGCCUCCGGAGGUUGACCAGGGGGCAGUGGAGGAGGUAAAGCUGAUGGCUUUUCAUAUUGAGUAACAUUAGUUUCUGGAUUCCAGUAGUACAAUAACCCAGUACUGCCAUCAAUUAAGCCCUUCCAAGGUUGCGGUAAAGUUGGAUCAUCGGGUGCAUAACGAGGUCCUAAGGAUUCCGGAGGUUGACCAGGUGGCAGUGGAGGGGGUAAAGCUGAUGGCUUCUCAUAUUGCGUAACAUUAGUUUCUGGAUUCCAGUAGUACAAUAACCCAGUACUUCCAUCAAUUAAGCCCUUCCAAGGUUGCGGUAAAGUUGGAUCAUCGGGUGCAUAACGAGGUCCUAAGGAAGCUGCCUCAGCAGUUGCCAUACUUAAGCUACCUAACACAAUCCAUGAUAAAACGUCAUAUAUGACUUCACCAGAUACAAUAACAAGCAAAAGGUACUGUAGUACACACUAAACGUGAAUAUAUGCGCUAACAGGAAUACGACUGCCAAGUAAAUCAGCUAAUAUUAAACAGAUAUUCCCAAUGAGAACAAUCCAAAUGCCAGAUUAUUAUUUCACAAGCAUAAAAAGCUCUAACGAUAGCUUUAUUUCUGUUGAGUUGAC
This 733-nucleotide long non-coding RNA is filed under the name Nicotiana benthamiana. RNAcentral describes it as "long non-coding RNA (NBEN_LNC031290)". Lineage: Eukaryota; Viridiplantae; Streptophyta; Magnoliopsida; Solanales; Solanaceae. The record is from RNAcentral.